Molecule: ribosomal RNA, 253 nt
Filed under: uncultured bacterium
Lineage: Bacteria
Description: partial 16S ribosomal RNA
Rfam family: Bacterial small subunit ribosomal RNA
Source: RNAcentral
UACAGAGGGGGCAAGCGUUGUUCGGAAUUACUGGGCGUAAAGGGCGCGUAGGCGGCCUGUUAAGUCGAACGUGAAAUCCCCGGGCUCAACCCGGGAACUGCGUCCGAUACUGGCAGGCUUGAAUUCGGGAGAGGGAUGUGGAAUUCCAGGUGUAGCGGUGAAAUGCGCAGAUAUCAGGAGGAACACCGGUGGCGAAGGCGGGUCUCUGGGCUGACACUGACGCUCAUGCACGAAAGCGUGGGGAGCAAACAGG